This 604-nucleotide ribosomal RNA is filed under the name uncultured Phialocephala. RNAcentral's name for it is "eukaryotic LSU rRNA". The stretch from base 243 to 396 matches the Rfam family "5.8S ribosomal RNA". Lineage: Eukaryota; Fungi; Ascomycota; Leotiomycetes; Helotiales. The record is from RNAcentral.
CUUGGUCAUUUAGAGGAAGUAAAAGUCGUAACAAGGUUUCCGUAGGUGAACCUGCGGAAGGAUCAUUACAAGUGAGGCUACCGAACGUUGGAAACAGCGGUUAGGAGCUUACACCCACCCGUGUUUACAUACUAUUGUUGCUUUGGCGGGCCGUGGCCUCCACUGCGGGCUCUGCUCGUGUGUGCUCGCCAGAGAACCAAACUCUGAAUGUUAGUGAUGUCUGAGUACUAUCUAAUAGUUAAAACUUUCAACAACGGAUCUCUUGGUUCUGGCAUCGAUGAAGAACGCAGCGAAAUGCGAUAAGUAAUGUGAAUUGCAGAAUUCAGUGAAUCAUCGAAUCUUUGAACGCACAUUGCGCCCUGUGGUAUUCCGCAGGGCAUGCCUGUUCGAGCGUCAUUUAACCACUCACGCCUAGCGUGGUAUUGGGGCACGCGGUCUCCGCGGCCCUCAAAAUCAGUGGCGGCGCCGGUGGGCUCUAAGCGUAGUACAUACUCCCGCUAUAGAGUUCCCCCCGGUGGCUCGCCAGAACCCCCAAUUUUUUACAGGUUGACCUCGGAUCAGGUAGGAAUACCCGCUGAACUUAAGCAUAUCAAUAAGCGGAGGA